This 591-nucleotide ribosomal RNA is filed under the name uncultured bacterium. Its description in RNAcentral is "bacterial SSU rRNA". It matches the Rfam family "Bacterial small subunit ribosomal RNA", at positions 246 to 834 of the family's 1533-position model. The record is from RNAcentral.
UAGUUGGCGGGGUAACGGCCCACCAAGUCUACGAUGGAUAGGGGUUCUGAGAGGAAGGUCCCCCACAUUGGAACUGAGACACGGUCCAAACUCCUACGGGAGGCAGCAGUGAGGAAUAUUGGUCAAUGGACGCGAGUCUGAACCAGCCAAGUAGCGUGAAGGAUGACUGCCCUAUGGGUUGUAAACUUCUUUUAUAAGGGAAUAAAGUGAGGGACGUGUCCCUUUUUGUAUGUACCUUAUGAAUAAGGAUCGGCUAACUCCGUGCCAGCAGCCGCGGUAAUACGGAGGAUCCAAGCGUUAUCCGGAUUUAUUGGGUUUAAAGGGAGCGUAGGUUGACAUAUAAGUCAGCUGUGAAAGUUUACGGCUCAACCGUGAAAUUGCAGUUGAUACUGUAUGUCUUGAGUGUACAAGAGGUGGGCGGAAUUCGUGGUGUAGCGGUGAAAUGCUUAGAUAUCACGAAGAACUCCAAUUGCGAAGGCAGCUCACUGGGGUACAACUGACACUGAGGCUCGAAAGUGUGGGUAUCAAACAGGAUUAGAUACCCUGGUAGUCCACACAGUAAACGAUGAAUACUCGCUGUUUGCGAUAUAC